GACGAACGCUGGCGGCGUGCCUAAUACAUGCAAGUAGAACGCUGAAGAGAGGAGCUUGCUCUUCUUGGAUGAGUUGCGAACGGGUGAGUAACGCGUAGGUAACCUGCCUUGUAGCGGGGGAUAACUAUUGGAAACGAUAGCUAAUACCGCAUAACAAUGGAUGACACAUGUCAUUUAUUUGAAAGGGGCAAUUGCUCCACUACAAGAUGGACCUGCGUUGUAUUAGCUAGUAGGUGAGGUAAUGGCUCACCUAGGCGACGAUACAUAGCCGACCUGAGAGGGUGAUCGGCCACACUGGGACUGAGACACGGCCCAGACUCCUACGGGAGGCAGCAGUAGGGAAUCUUCGGCAAUGGGGGCAACCCUGACCGAGCAACGCCGCGUGAGUGAAGAAGGUUUUCGGAUCGUAAAGCUCUGUUGUAAGUCAAGAACGGGUGUGAGAGUGGAAAGUUCACACUGUGACGGUAGCUUACCAGAAAGGGACGGCUAACUACG
Molecule: ribosomal RNA, 495 nt
Filed under: uncultured bacterium
Lineage: Bacteria
Description: partial 16S ribosomal RNA
Rfam family: Bacterial small subunit ribosomal RNA
Source: RNAcentral